CAGUAGCCGCGGUAAUACGUAGGGUGCAAGCGUUAAUCGGAAUUACUGGGCGUAAAGCGUGCGCAGGCGGUUAUAUAAGACAGAUGUGAAAUCCCCGGGCUCAACCUGGGAACUGCAUUUGUGACUGUAUAGCUAGAGUGCGGCAGAGGGGGAUGGAAUUCCGCGUGUAGCAGUGAAAUGCGUAGAUAUGCGGAGGAACACCGAUGGCGAAGGCAAUCCCCUGGGCCUGUACUGACGCUCAUGCACGAAAGCGUGGGGAGCAAACAGGAUUAGAUACCCCCGUAGUCCCUGUCUCUUAUAC
This 301-nucleotide ribosomal RNA is filed under the name uncultured bacterium. Its description in RNAcentral is "partial 16S ribosomal RNA". It matches the Rfam family "Bacterial small subunit ribosomal RNA", at positions 509 to 807 of the family's 1533-position model. The record is from RNAcentral.